ACUGUUUUUAUCUCAAACCACAAGUUUUACUUCUUUUUUUUUCCAAUUCUCUCCCCCAUCCCACUGGGCAUAGGGGGAGUGAGUGAGUUGCUGGGUGGAGCUUAGUUGCCGGCUGGGGUUAAACCACAACAGUGACUACUGGAGAAAAUGAAGGUCAACUAGGUUCAGAUGGUUCACUUGAUAAGAACCUCACAGACAUGGGGGUGUUGCUUCC
Long non-coding RNA from Aquila chrysaetos chrysaetos, 214 nucleotides. RefSeq lists it as uncharacterized. The record is from RefSeq and is a predicted model, not a curated record. The transcript has 3 exons. Lineage: Eukaryota; Metazoa; Chordata; Aves; Accipitriformes; Accipitridae.